UUGUCAAGAAUAGUGUGUUAGAGG
Molecule: non-coding RNA, 24 nt
Filed under: Drosophila erecta
Lineage: Eukaryota; Metazoa; Arthropoda; Insecta; Diptera; Drosophilidae
Also listed under: 1 other name
Source: RNAcentral